This 1181-nucleotide long non-coding RNA is filed under the name Calidris pugnax (ruff). RNAcentral describes it as "lncRNA (ENSCPUG00000018533.1)". Lineage: Eukaryota; Metazoa; Chordata; Aves; Charadriiformes; Scolopacidae. The record is from RNAcentral.
UACACACACACCCCCCAUACACCCCCCCCNNNNNNNNNNCGGGGCACCCCGGGGGAGAGUUGUGUGCGAGGCACAUGUGUGCCGGGCUGCAGGCACCGCACGCACGCACGCACGCACAGACACACACACACACACACACACACACACACACACACACACACACACACACACACACACACACACACACACACACACACACACACACACACAUCUCCGUGUACGCUCACACGCACAAACGCGCCCAAAGAGGCGGCAAAGACGGAGCAGGCGGCGGGGGGAGGGGGAAGGAUUAAAAAAAAAUGGGUCAGGAGCGGGGCAGUUACCUGGUCAUGCUGGCUCCCCCGGUCCCAGCAGCAGCCGCCGCCGCCUGCCCGCCCGCCAGCGCUUCCCGCCGCCGCCGCCACCUCCUCCCCGCUGCUCCCGCUUGUCUCCGGGGCGGCCAAUUUAAUCCAAGCCCCGCAGCAGCAGCAGCAGCAGCAGCAGCAGCAGCAGCUACGAGCGGAGCCGCCCGCCGCUACUGCCUGGCGCUGGUCCCUAAUUUUCUUCCUGAAGAACGGUCGGAUUUCAUGCCGAGUGACACCACAUGUUGCUGGGCGCAAUAGGUGGCACGCCAUGGGGCUAAAAAAAGGUCCCUGCUCUUCUUGACACACCCUGCCUCACCCUCUGCAGAGAAGGAGCAGCUCAUAGGGCAUAGGUGGAAACAAUAGGGUUUAGGUGAAAAGUUGGGAAAUCUCACUGCUGGCUUCUAACCGUCUUCAGAAACCUGGAGCGUGUUCCCUCUGUACCUCAGGCCCUCCUGUGUAAAAUGGGAACGAAGGGUUAGGAUCAACACGCUGAAGGCCAGUCAGCCGUUAUGGUGACUGGAGCCCAGCAAGAUCGAUGGCCACAAAAGUUGACUUUCUAGUUUCCCCACGUAUGAGGCUGCAGAUGCAGCAAUGGUCAGACCAGUGCUCCUUGUCUUUGGAGUUUUAGUGCUGACCUGCUGCAAGCUCAUCAAGCUGCUGAUCCUGAAAUCAGUCAUGGUGGCCCAUGCAAAGUCUGUUGCAGAUGUCUGCUACUUUUCUGCAGAGGAGAGGGAUUUGGGUGUUUUCUAUCAUUUAAUCAUAUUUAUCAUACCAGGUACGGUGGUGCUACGAGCAUGAAGGAUGACAGAAAAUAAACUUUGUACUCCCCAAGUCCCA